GCGGGCAAAGUUCGCGCCGGUGCCCCGCAAGGGGCUUAAUACGGGAACCCGGUAGAGUUUUGCUCGAAAGAGUUUGCUCGAUUCCGGGGCUGUCCCUGCAACUGUAAGCGGUGAGCGCGAUGCACAUUCGCGGCGGGACAAUCGCUUCCCGACGCAGCCACUGGGCCGGACGCUAAAUCCUGCGAGGCCUGGGAAGGCCGUGCAUCACGCCCUGACCCGCGAGCCAGGAAACCUGCCUGCGUCGAUGUCGCUCU
This 254-nucleotide non-coding RNA is filed under the name Novosphingobium sp. ST904. The record is from RNAcentral. Lineage: Bacteria; Pseudomonadati; Pseudomonadota; Alphaproteobacteria; Sphingomonadales; Sphingomonadaceae. RNAcentral also lists the same sequence under 1 other name.